RNAcentral lists this ribosomal RNA (501 nucleotides) under uncultured bacterium. RNAcentral describes it as "partial 16S ribosomal RNA". It matches the Rfam family "Bacterial small subunit ribosomal RNA", at positions 30 to 523 of the family's 1533-position model. The record is from RNAcentral.
AUUGAACGCUGGCGGCAUGCCUUACACAUGCAAGUCGAACGGCAGCACGGGUGCUUGCACCUGGUGGCGAGUGGCGAACGGGUGAGUAAUACAUCGGAACGUACCUUAUCGUGGGGGAUAACGCAGCGAAAGUUGCGCUAAUACCGCAUACGCCCUGAGGGGGAAAGCGGGGGACCGUAAGGCCUCGCGCGAUUAGAGCGGCCGAUGUCUGAUUAGCUUGUUGGUGAGGUAAAAGCUCACCAAGGCGAUGAUCAGUAGCUGGUCUGAGAGGACGAUCAGCCACACUGGGACUGGGACACGGCCCAGACUCCUACGGGAGGCAGCAGUGGGGAAUUUUGGACGAUGGGGGCAACCCUGAUCCAGCAAUGCCGCGUGAGUGAAGAAGGCCUUCGGGUUGUAAAGCUCUUUUGUCAGGGAAGAAACAGCAGCUCUAACACAGUCUGCGAAUGACGGUACCUGAAGAAUAAGCACCGGCCAACUACGUGCCAGCCGCCGCAGUAA